UACGAAGGGGGCUAGCGUUGCUCGGAAUUACUGGGCGUAAAGCGCACGUAGGCGGCUCUUUAAGUCGGGGGUGAAAUCCUGGAGCUCAACUCCAGAACUGCCUUCGAUACUGUAGAGCUUGAGUUCGGGAGAGGUGAGUGGAACUGCGAGUGUAGAGGUGAAAUUCGUAGAUAUUCGCAAGAACACCAGUGGCGAAGGCGGCUUCCUGGACACUUACUGACGCUGAGACGCGAAAGCGUGGGGAGCAAACAGG
Molecule: ribosomal RNA, 253 nt
Filed under: uncultured bacterium
Lineage: Bacteria
Description: partial 16S ribosomal RNA
Rfam family: Bacterial small subunit ribosomal RNA
Source: RNAcentral